UAGGGAAUAUUGGUCAAUGGGUGCAAGCCUGCACCAGCCAUGCCGCGUGCAGGAAGACGGCCUUCUGGGUUGUAAACUGCUUUUGUCAGGGGAUAAAAAUACCUUGCGAGGUAAAUUGAAGGUACCUGGCGAAUAAGCCACGGCUAACUACGUGCCAGCAGCCGCGGUAAUACGUAGGUGGCAAGCGUUGUCCGGAUUUAUUGGGUUUAAAGGGUGCGUAGGCGGCUUUGUAAGUCAGUGGUGAAAUAUGUCAGCUUAACUGAGAGGGUGCCAUUGAUACUGCAGAGCUUGAGUACAGAUGAGGUAGGCGGAAUUGACGGUGUAGCGGUGAAAUGCUUAGAUAUCGUCAAGAACACCUAUAGCGAAGGCAGCUUACUAGGCUGUAACUGACGCUGAGGCACGAAAGUGUGGGGAUCAAACAGGAUUAGAUACCCUGGUAGUCCACACUGUAAACGUUGAUUACUCGCUGUGUGCGAUAUACAGUACGCGGCCAAGCGAAAGCGAUAAGUAAUCCACCUGGGGAGUACGCCGGCAACGGUG
This 540-nucleotide ribosomal RNA is filed under the name uncultured bacterium. RNAcentral describes it as "bacterial SSU rRNA". It matches the Rfam family "Bacterial small subunit ribosomal RNA", at positions 355 to 896 of the family's 1533-position model. The record is from RNAcentral.